This 339-nucleotide unclassified non-coding RNA is filed under the name soil metagenome. Its description in RNAcentral is "partial contains 5.8S ribosomal RNA, internal transcribed spacer 2, and large subunit ribosomal RNA". The stretch from base 1 to 120 matches the Rfam family "5.8S ribosomal RNA", at positions 35 to 154 of the family's 154-position model. The record is from RNAcentral.
GAUGAAGAACGUAGUGAAAUGCGAUACGUAGUGUGAAUUGCAGAAUUCAGUGAAUCAUCGAAUCUUUGAACGCACAUUGCACCUCUCGGUAUUCCGGGAGGUAUGCCUGUUCGAGCGUCAUUUGUACCCUCAAGCUCUGCUUGGUGUUGGGUGUUUGUUCCGCCUCUGUGUGUGAACUCGCCUCAAAACAAUUGGCAGCCGGCGUACUUGUUUCGGAGCGCAGCACAUUUUGCGAUCCAGAUCAACGUACAGCGGCAUCCAAGAAGCCUUAUUUAACGCUCUUGACCUCGGAUCAGGUAGGGAUAACCGCUGAACUUAAGCAUAUCAAUAAGCGGAGGA